This 260-nucleotide ribosomal RNA is filed under the name uncultured prokaryote. RNAcentral describes it as "partial 16S ribosomal RNA". It matches the Rfam family "Bacterial small subunit ribosomal RNA", at positions 524 to 782 of the family's 1533-position model. The record is from RNAcentral.
UACGUAGGGUGCGAGCGUUGUCCGGAAUUACUGGGCGUAAAGAGCUCGUAGGUGGUUUGUCGCGUCGUCUGUGAAAUUCCGGGGCUUAACCUCGGGCGUGCAGGCGAUACGGGCAAUACUUGAGUGCUGUAGGGGAGACUGGAAUUCCUGGUGUAGCGGUGAAAUGCGCAGAUAUCAGGAGGAACACCAAUGGCGAAAGCAGGUCUCUGGGCAGUUACUGACGCUGAGGAGCGAAAGCAUGGGUAGCGAACAGGAUUAGA